RNAcentral lists this ribosomal RNA (477 nucleotides) under uncultured bacterium. RNAcentral's name for it is "partial 16S ribosomal RNA". It matches the Rfam family "Bacterial small subunit ribosomal RNA", at positions 29 to 523 of the family's 1533-position model. The record is from RNAcentral.
AGUGAACGCUGGCGGCGUGCUUAACACAUGCAAGUCGAACGAGAACGGAUUAUAGCUUGCUAUAAUUGUCAGCUAAGUGGCGCACGGGUGAGUAAUGUAUAGGUAAUAUGCCUCUUACUAAGGGGUAACAAAUGGAAACGUUUGCUAAUACCUUAUACUCCUUAUUAACAUAAGUUAAUAAGGGAAAGAUUUAUUGGUAAGAGAUUAGCCUGUAUUGUAUCAGUUAGUUGGUGGGGUAAUGGCUUACCAAGACUAUGACACAUAACUGGUUUGAGAGGAUGAUCAGUCACACUGGAACUGAGACACGGUCCAGACUCCGACGGGAGGCAGCAGUGGGGAAUAUUGCACAAUGGACGAAAGACUGACGCAGCGACAUCGCGUGUAGAAUGAAGGCCCUCGGGUCGUAAACUACUUUUUGGGAGCCAUGAAGGCGCCCAGAAUAAGGAACUACUAACUACGUGCCAGCAGCCGCCGUAA